GGUCAAGUUGUCAAGGGCGAACGGUGAAUGCCUUGGCACCAGGAGCCGAUGAAGGACGUGGGAGGCCGCGAUAGGCCUGGGGGAGCUGUCUACCAAGCUGUGAUCCCAGGGUGUCCGAAUGGGGAAACCCGGCACCAGUCAUGUGGUGUCACCUACACCUGAACACAUAGGGUGUAUGGAGGGAACGCGGGGAAGUGAAACAUCUCAGUACCCGUAGGAAGAGAAAACAAUUUAGUGAUUCCGUGAGUAGUGGCGAGCGAAAGCGGAUCGAGGCUAAACCGGCUGCGUGUGAUACCUGUCAGGGGUUGCGUGGUCGGGGUUGUGGGACCUUGCUCGACAAGCUGACACUUGUUGAAGGAGUUACAAAGCCAGUUGCUAGCCGAACAGUCUGGAAUGGCUGACCGUAGGCGGUGAAAGUCCGGUAGGCGAAAGUGGCUGGCCUCCUGUGAGUGUUCCCGAGUAGCGGCGGACCCCUGAAAUCUGCCGUGAAUCUGCCAGGACCACCUGGUAAGCCUAAAUACUUCCUGGUGACCGAUAGCGGACAAGUACCGUGAGGGAAUGGUGAAAAGUACCCCGGGAGGGGAGUGAAAUAGUACCUGAAACCGUUCGCCUACAAUCCGUCGGAGCCUUGCGGGGUGACGGCGUGCCUUUUGAAGAAUGAGCCUGCGAGUUAGUGGCAUGUGGCGAGGUUAACCCGUGUGGGGGAGCCGUAGCGAAAGCGAGUCUGAAUAGGGCGAUUCAGUCGCGUGUCCUAGACCCGAAGCGGAGUGAUCUAGCCAUGGGCAGGCUGAAGCGCGGGUAAGACCGCGUGGAGGGCCGAACCCACCAACGUUGAAAAGUUGGGGGAUGACCUGUGGUUAGGGGUGAAAGGCCAAUCAAACUCCGUGAUAGCUGGUUCUCCCCGAAAUGCAUUUAGGUGCAGCGUCGCGUGUUUCUUGCCGGAGGUAGAGCACUGGAUGGUCUAGGGGGCCCACAAGCUUACCGAAACCAGCCAAACUCCGAAUGCCGGUAAGUGAGAGCGCGGCAGUGAGACUGCGGGGGAUAAGCUUCGUAGUCGAGAGGGAAACAGCCCAGAUCACCAGCUAAGGCCCCUAAGCGUGUGCUAAGUGGAAAAGGAUGUGGGGUCGCACAGACAACCAGGAGGUUGGCUUAGAAGCAGCCACCCUUUAAAGAGUGCGUAAUAGCUCACUGGUCAAGUGGUUCCGCGCCGACAAUGUAGCGGGGCUCAAGCACACCGCCGAAGCUGUGGCAUUCACAUUUCAACCUCGCUUGGACUUGAUUCCUUGUGCAGGUGUGUGGAUGGGUAGGGGAGCGUCGUGCCGCGAGUGAAGCAACGGGGUGACCCAGUUGUGGACGCG
RNAcentral lists this ribosomal RNA (1358 nucleotides) under Micromonospora sp. ATA32. Its description in RNAcentral is "partial 23S ribosomal RNA". It matches the Rfam family "Bacterial large subunit ribosomal RNA", at positions 1 to 1281 of the family's 2925-position model. The record is from RNAcentral. Lineage: Bacteria; Bacillati; Actinomycetota; Actinomycetes; Micromonosporales; Micromonosporaceae.